RNAcentral lists this ribosomal RNA (253 nucleotides) under uncultured bacterium. Its description in RNAcentral is "partial 16S ribosomal RNA". It matches the Rfam family "Bacterial small subunit ribosomal RNA", at positions 524 to 776 of the family's 1533-position model. The record is from RNAcentral.
UACGUAGGGUGCGAGCGUUAAUCGGAAUUACUGGGCGUAAAGUGUGCGCAGGCGGCAGAGCAAGUCGAGUGUGAAAGCCCCGGGCUUAACUUGGGAAUUGCGCUCGAAACUACUUUGCUGGAGUGUGGCAGAGGAAGGUGGAAUUCCACGUGUAGCGGUGAAAUGCGCAGAUAUCAGGAGGAACACCGGUGGCGAAGGCGGUGGUCUGGGCCGGCACUGACGCUGAGGAGCGAAAGCGUGGGGAGCGAACAGG